GUGAGGAAUAUUGCGCAAUGGAGGCAACUCUGACGCAGCCAUGCCGCGUGCAGGAAGAAGGCGCUACGCGUUGUAAACUGCUUUUAACCGGGAAGAAACCCCAGGACGUGUCCUGGGUUGACGGUACCGGAGGAAUAAGCACCGGCUAACUUCGUGCCAGCAGCCGCGGUAAUACGAAGGGUGCAAGCGUUAUCCGGAUUCAUUGGGUUUAAAGGGUGCGUAGGCGGAGCGUUAAGUCAGUGGUGAAAUCCUGCAGCUUAACUGUAGACUUGCCAUUGAUACUGGCGCUCUUGAGUGCGCUUGAAGUGGGCGGAAUGUGCCGUGUAGCGGUGAAAUGCUUAGAUAUGGCACAGAACACCAAUUGCGAAGGCAGCUCACUAAGGCGAUACUGACGCUGAGGCACGAAAGCGUGGGGAUCGAACAGGAUUAGAAACCCCUGUAGUCC
RNAcentral lists this ribosomal RNA (445 nucleotides) under uncultured bacterium. RNAcentral's name for it is "bacterial SSU rRNA". It matches the Rfam family "Bacterial small subunit ribosomal RNA", at positions 354 to 796 of the family's 1533-position model. The record is from RNAcentral.